AUAAUGGUGUCUUUGGACACCACCUAUUCUGUCUUUGAAAUUUUAU
Picea glauca (white spruce) is the source of this 46-nucleotide non-coding RNA. The record is from Rfam. NCBI's taxonomy places the organism in Eukaryota, Viridiplantae, Streptophyta, Pinopsida, Pinales, Pinaceae.